UACGGAGGGGGCUAGCGUUGUUCGGAAUUACUGGCGUAAAGCGCGCGUAGGCGGACCUGCAAGUCGGGGGUGAAAGCCCGAGGCUCAACCUCGGAACUGCCUUCGAUACUGCGGGUCUCGAGUCCGGGAGAGGUGAGUGGAAUUCCUAGUGUAGAGGUGAAAUUCGUAGAUAUUCGCAAGAACACCAGUGGCGAAGGCGGCUCACUGGCCCGAUACUGACGCUGAGGCACGAAAGCGUGGGGAGCAAACAGG
This 252-nucleotide ribosomal RNA is filed under the name uncultured bacterium. Its description in RNAcentral is "partial 16S ribosomal RNA". It matches the Rfam family "Bacterial small subunit ribosomal RNA", at positions 524 to 776 of the family's 1533-position model. The record is from RNAcentral.